RNAcentral lists this ribosomal RNA (471 nucleotides) under uncultured bacterium. Its description in RNAcentral is "bacterial SSU rRNA". It matches the Rfam family "Bacterial small subunit ribosomal RNA", at positions 28 to 497 of the family's 1533-position model. The record is from RNAcentral.
GAUGAACGCUAGCGACAGGCUUAACACAUGCAAGUCGAGGAGUAACAGGGUAGCAAUACCGCUGACGACCGGCGCACGGGUGAGUAACGCGUAUGCAACCUGCCUAUAACUGGGGAAUAGCUCCCUGAAAGGGGAAUUAACACCGCAUAACACUAUUGAUUCGCAUGGAUUGGUAGUUAAAUGUAGCGAUACAGGUUAUAGAUGGGCAUGCGUGACAUUAGCUAGUUGGUGAGGUAACGGCUCACCAAGGCUACGAUGUCUAGGGGUUCUGAGAGGAAGGUCCCCCAACUGGUACUGAGACACGGACCAGACUCCUACGGGAGCAGCAGUGAGGAAUAUUGGUCAAUGGGCGCAAGCCUGAACCAGCCAUGUCGCGUGCAGGAAGACCGCCUAUGGGUUGUAAACUGCUUUUAAGUAGAAGAAACACAUCUACGCGUAGAUGUCUGCCAGUAUACUAUGAAUAGCAUCGGA